UACGGGGGGAGCAAGCGUUGUUCGGAAUCACUGGGCUUAAAGGGCGCGUAGGCGGGUUCGAAAGUCUGUGGUGAAAGCCUCCAGCUUAACUGGAGAAGUGCCAUGGAUACUGCGAACCUGGAGGAGGGUAGGGGCAUCUGGAACGCUGGGUGGAGCGGUGAAAUGCGUUGAUAUCCAGCGGAACUCCGGUGGCGAAGGCGAGGUGCUGGACCCUUUCUGACGCUGAGGCGCGAAAGCCAGGGGAGCAAACGGG
Molecule: ribosomal RNA, 253 nt
Filed under: uncultured bacterium
Lineage: Bacteria
Description: partial 16S ribosomal RNA
Rfam family: Bacterial small subunit ribosomal RNA
Source: RNAcentral